RNAcentral lists this microRNA precursor (93 nucleotides) under Oryza longistaminata (longstamen rice). RNAcentral describes it as "pre miRNA mir-399". Lineage: Eukaryota; Viridiplantae; Streptophyta; Magnoliopsida; Poales; Poaceae. The record is from RNAcentral.
UUUGUAACAAUCGGGUUGUUUUUCCUUUGUCAUGGUAUUAGCUACAUAGCUAAUACCACCAUGACAAAGGAAAAACAACCCGAUUGUUACAAA